AGAAUCAACGCUGGCGGCGUGCCUAACACAUGCAAGUCGAACGAGAAGUGGUAGCAAUACCAUGAGUAAAGUGGCGCACGGGUGAGUAACACGUGACUAACCUACCCUUGAGUGGGGGAUAACUGAGGGAAACCUUAGCUAAUACCGCAUAAUACCCACGGGUCAAAGGAGCAAUUCGCUCGAGGAGGGGGUCGCGGCCGAUUAGUUAGUUGGCAGGGUAAUGGCCUACCAAGACGAUGAUCGGUA
Molecule: ribosomal RNA, 246 nt
Filed under: uncultured bacterium
Lineage: Bacteria
Description: partial small subunit ribosomal RNA
Rfam family: Bacterial small subunit ribosomal RNA
Source: RNAcentral